This 253-nucleotide ribosomal RNA is filed under the name uncultured microorganism. Its description in RNAcentral is "partial small subunit ribosomal RNA". It matches the Rfam family "Bacterial small subunit ribosomal RNA", at positions 524 to 776 of the family's 1533-position model. The record is from RNAcentral.
UACGAAGGGUGCAAGCGUUACUCGGAAUUACCGGGCGUAAAGCGUGCGUAGGUGGUUGUUUAAGUCUGUUGUGAAAGCCCUGGGCUCAACCUGGGAAUUGCAGUGGAUACUGGGCGACUAGAGUGUGGUAGAGGGUAGUGGAAUUCCCGGUGUAGCAGUGAAAUGCGUAGAGAUCGGGAGGAACAUCUAUGGCGAAGGCAGCUACCUGGACCAACACUGACACUGAGGCACGAAAGCGUGGGGAGCAAACAGG